AGAGGGACAGAAGGAAAGAGGGAAAGAGGGAAAGAGGGAAAGAGGGAAAGAGGGAAAGAGGGAAAGAGGGAAAGAGGGAAAGUUAUACAGACAGCAAGACCAUGAGAAGGAGAUAGAGACAGUAGGCUGACAAAGAGAUGAGUCCUUAUCACACAAUUAGAAUUAUUACUUGUUCAGGAUUGCAAUGUGGCUCAACACCAGUUUCACUUAAAAACAAUCUUGACUCCUGCCCAACCCCCUCCCCCCAUCGCCAAGAGUCUCUGGAAUGCUGUUGCGAUGGAAAAGGAGGGAGUUAGAGUGAAUGUUCCUGACUGAAUUGGUUUCUUUACUUUAUGCCCAGUUAUCCAGAAG
Non-coding RNA from Chiloscyllium plagiosum (whitespotted bambooshark), 351 nucleotides. NCBI's taxonomy places the organism in Eukaryota, Metazoa, Chordata, Chondrichthyes, Orectolobiformes, Hemiscylliidae. The record is from RefSeq and is a predicted model, not a curated record.